Long non-coding RNA from Amblyraja radiata (thorny skate), 234 nucleotides. RefSeq lists it as uncharacterized. The record is from RefSeq and is a predicted model, not a curated record. The transcript has 2 exons. NCBI's taxonomy places the organism in Eukaryota, Metazoa, Chordata, Chondrichthyes, Rajiformes, Rajidae.
CGGGCUAUGCUAACGAGCAGCGGUGGGCAGCAGAAGGGGUCUCUCUCUCCCCCUCUCCCCCCUCUCCCUCUCCGAACGGUGCCUCCACCAGACAUAUGUCCCCAAUUAGCAGCUAAAGAUGAGAGAAAAGAAGAGAGAAAAAGCAAGAAAGAAAAAGUGGAAUGUGCAAGGAUAGAACCCCUAGACUACCAAACUGGUGUCGCCAAAGAGUGAACAAGUAAAAGAAAUAACAAA